This is a long non-coding RNA of Pyrus x bretschneideri (Chinese white pear), 528 nucleotides long. RefSeq lists it as uncharacterized. The transcript has 2 exons. The record is from RefSeq and is a predicted model, not a curated record. Lineage: Eukaryota; Viridiplantae; Streptophyta; Magnoliopsida; Rosales; Rosaceae.
AAAAUCAUUCUCUUUCUCUCUCAAAGUUUUCUCUGUUUCCUUCUUCUUCUACAAUUUCUCUGUUCUCUUUUCUACAUAAUGCUUAACAAAGUUUGCAUGUCUUUGUGAACUUCAAUUGCAGGUGAAGUAUCGAACAGCCUUGAUGAAGUUGAUGGGGUCAUAGACCACAGAAUCAUUUCCAAGUUCACGUUAAGUUUCAAAGAUCCUAUACCCACCCUUCAAAAAAUCGUUCUUAUGGCUUUCCAUGCACGACAGUAAUUGCUUCCGAAAGUGUACCGUCUGUUGUUGAUAAUCGGCCAAAGAAUGCUGUGAAGGAGCCUUAACAGCUAGAGCCUGCAUCACAAACUUACAUCGUGGUUCGGUUUUGCUUCUGCAAUUAAGCCUGCAUCGUAUACAAACCACACCAUUUUAGUGUAACGUGGCGUUGCAUAUUGCUUCGUACGCAUAUCACUUGUAUCCAUUCUACGUACAUAUAUUGUGCUUGUAUAUGUUGAAAUUUAAUAAUAAUAUAAUAAUAUUAAAUUUAUU